GCCAUUUUCAGCGCCAGAGGGCCUUCUCGGCCACGCCUUCUCCUGCAGGCGGCACCUCCGUCCCUUCCGCCAUCUUCAGCGCCAGAGGGUCUUUUCUGCCGCCCUCCCUGGUGGUGUUCCUGCUAUCUUCAGCGCCAGAGGACCUGCUCGGCCAGGCCAGGCCCUCCCCUGCUGGCGCUGCUGCACCGCUGCCGCCAUCCUCAGCACCAGAAAGGUGUACCAAGGCUCUCAGUAUCCCACGCCACAGCUUCCUACUGAGGAAGUAUACUAGGUGGGAGUGAGAAGAUGUGACAUUGUCAGAGGCGUUAAAGAUGGAUUCUCAUCGAGUCUUUUUAAGAUGCCGAAAAGAACCAAGAAAAAUGAGACUCAGUUCUGCCCAGGCCGUGAGCUUCACUGCCAGGUCUCCGCUGAAGUGUUGCUUCCUCAAAGAGGCCCUUCCUGAUUUCUCCAUCUCCCUACUAAGUCGUGAAUCUCUGAAUAAAGUUCAAGCCCCAUAAAGGCAAGAUCUGUAUAUGCCUGGC
Fukomys damarensis (Damara mole-rat) is the source of this 521-nucleotide long non-coding RNA. RefSeq lists it as uncharacterized. Lineage: Eukaryota; Metazoa; Chordata; Mammalia; Rodentia; Bathyergidae. The transcript is spliced from 5 exons. The record is from RefSeq and is a predicted model, not a curated record.